Molecule: ribosomal RNA, 222 nt
Filed under: uncultured bacterium
Lineage: Bacteria
Description: partial 16S ribosomal RNA
Rfam family: Bacterial small subunit ribosomal RNA
Source: RNAcentral
ACGCUCGACACCUACGGGAGGAGCAGUAGGGAAUCUUCCACAAUGGACGCAAGUCUGAUGGAGCAACGCCGCGUGAGUGAAGAAGGUCUUCGGAUCGUAAAACUCUGUUGUUAGAGAAGAACACGAGUGAGAGUAACUGUUCAUUCGAUGACGGUAUCUAACCAGCAAGUCACGGCUAACUACGUGUCAGCAGCCGCGGUAAUCUGAGCGGGCUGGCAAGGC